GAGAUAAAUACAAGCCCGAUAAUAACUCACUGCAGACUUGGCUUCAUUCCUAGAUUUCCUUGGCUGUUUGUCCUAAUAAAGUGUCUCCAUGGCACUUAGGGCAGGAAGGUUAUUAGUAGCUGUCAAUCAAAGGCAGGAGUAUGUGUUGGAGGGAGCAGGAAGAGAAGAGAGGUGACAUUCAUCCUCUCCUCUCCCUUAUAUAUUGGGUGUAGAAGUCAUUCAGAGCAAGUGGUUAAAAAGGGAGAGGUCCUGCUUCAUCCCCACGGAAAAAAAAGAGAGAGGAAACUGCCUUGGUAACCAACAGUUUAAUAAUAUAGCAGCUGAUGUCAAUCAUUUUUCUUUUACUUUCAUUGAUACUGGGAUGUUUAUUAAGUGCCAGGACUAUGAAGGACGUAGGCAGAGAAACACAUCUGCAGUGCUAUCCGGGCACCUGAGGGAGAAGAGUAGGAACACAAAGCCAAAGUAACUUGGUUUCCAAUUCAAAUGAUCCUUGCAACCCAAAGUGACUCUUGGACUGGCGAAAGAGAGAAGACGAUAUAUGCUGGAGGAACAGAAGACUGGCCUAACAUCAUGGCAUUGCAAGGGAUAGUAGCUGUAAAAGUGAUCAAAGGAACAAAACUUAAUUCUGUUCACAAAAAAAUCUGGGUAUCACUCAGCUUUGCUACAUGAAACAGGAUCCUGUGAAUCUUCACUUGGAAGUUCUCAGAACAUACUGUGGACUAUCACACCAUCUGCACCGAGAUCCUCACAUCCAAACACAAAUUAAAAAUGAAACUGUAAAAUUUGCAAGGAAACAAUACAGACCUUUUAUCUCAUUCUCCCUCUGUUCAUUUUCAAAAGAGAAACUUGCUUGUAGCCAAGCAUAGCUAAAAAGCCUUUUAUUAAUUGGACUGGCAUCAAGCUUGCAUACAUAAAAUUGUUUAUUUUUUCCCCUAUAAAGGGGUUGCCUGACAUAAAAGGGUCUUUGAAGAUGACAUUCAGAUUUUGACAUUUGCAUGAUAUUGUAUAAAUAUCAGAGGUAGGAGACUUCUCUGACAAACCAGAUGGGUCAGGAAAAGCACUUCCGUAGAUAGAUAUUAGUCUUUUACUUAAAGCGUAUUAGCUUCUUCUCAAAGCUGUGAAUGAUUAGACAGCUAAAACAAAUACAUUUCGCCCACUAACUGUGUCUUGCUUACUUCAUUUCCCCCCCCUCAAACAAGAACUAGGAUGGGUUGGGGGAAUAUAAAAUAAUAUCAUUACUCUGGCACUCUCCCUCCCCUUGUAAUUCAAUUAAGAUCAAACAAUAAAAAUGAACCUCCUCUUUUGAUUGCCA
Molecule: long non-coding RNA, 1312 nt
Filed under: Pogona vitticeps (central bearded dragon)
Lineage: Eukaryota; Metazoa; Chordata; Lepidosauria; Squamata; Agamidae
Description: lncRNA (ENSPVIG00000022173.1)
Source: RNAcentral